CGCGGCCUAUCAGCUUGUUGGUGAGGUAAUGGCCUACCAAGGCGACGACGGGUAGCCGGCCUGAGAGGGUGACCGGCCACACUGGGACUGAGACACGGCCCAGACUCCUACGGGGGGCAGCAGUGGGGAAUAUUGCACAAUGGGCGCAAGCCUGAUGCAGCGACGCCGCGUGAGGGAUGACGGCCUUCGGGUUGUAAACCUCUUUCAGUAGGGAAGAAGCGAAAGUGACGGUACCUGCAGAAGAAGCGCCGGCUAACUACGUGCCAGCAGCCGCGGUAAUACGUAGGGCGCAAGCGUUAUCCGGAAUUAUUGGGCGUAAAGAGCUCGUAGGCGGUUUGUCGCGUCUGCCGUGAAAGUCCGGGGCUCAACUCCGGAUCUGCGGUGGGUACGGGCAGACUAGAGUGAUGUAGGGGAGACUGGAAUUCCUGGUGUAGCGGUGAAAUGCGCAGAUAUCAGGAGGAACACCGAUGGCGAAGGCAGGUCUCUGGGCAUUAACUGACGCUGAGGAGCGAAAGCAUGGGGAGCGAACAGGAUUAGAUACCCUGGUAGUCCAUGCCGUAAACGUUGGGCACUAGGUGUGGGGGACAUUCCACGUUUUCCGCGCCGUAGCUAACGCAUUAAGUGCCCCGCCUGGGGAGUACGG
RNAcentral lists this ribosomal RNA (643 nucleotides) under uncultured Actinomycetes bacterium. RNAcentral describes it as "bacterial SSU rRNA". It matches the Rfam family "Bacterial small subunit ribosomal RNA", at positions 232 to 885 of the family's 1533-position model. The record is from RNAcentral. Lineage: Bacteria; Bacillati; Actinomycetota; Actinomycetes.